Long non-coding RNA from Capsicum annuum, 1285 nucleotides. RefSeq lists it as uncharacterized. Lineage: Eukaryota; Viridiplantae; Streptophyta; Magnoliopsida; Solanales; Solanaceae. The transcript has 2 exons. The record is from RefSeq and is a predicted model, not a curated record.
AGCCCAAAACCUUUCUUUCCUCCACUCAGCCACAAUUUCAUCCCCAAAUCACCAGCCCAUUACCCUUUGCCUAUCCCUCUUGGCCUAACUCUUUCCCCUUUUCCCCUAAUUAAAUAAUAUCAAACAACAAUCCUAAACAAAUCAGCUGACCCAGCUCGUUCUAAUACCCCUUCUUCCCCUUCCAAAAAAACAAUAUCAACAACAAAACAAAAGAUACACACACAUCUACCAAAUCACGACAACAACCCAGCGACCAACAUCGAAAACCCAACUUGAGAUCCCAAAAUCCAACCCAUCCAAACCAACAGCGACCCGCAACCAACCCAUUUGUAGCCUUCUUCACACGUCCUACGCAAAUUCAUACAAAGAGGACUCAAGAACAUUCUACAACGAGCCUAGGUGUCAUCCCCCAAUGGCUAACCCAUAAAUCUGGAGAUAAUGGUACGAUUUAGUACAUAUUUAGGCGAUUUUUAUUGGUCGGAGAAAGGAUUUGGUUUUCCUCAAUUUUUAUUGGUCCACACAUCCUGAAUUAUUUAAGGAAAAUUCAAAAAUUUGUAUAAAUUUAGGGAUGAAAACCACAGAGGGGGAUGGGAAUUUUGCAUUUCAAAAAUAUCCCAUUUUUUACCCUCAAAAUUUGGUCUUAAUCAAGGGGUCCUCUAUAUAAGAGCCCACAGUGAAGCUUCUUAAGGGUUGAAGAUUUUGGUUCAGAAAAAACUAAGGGAGAAAAAGAAAAAGAAAGAAACUCUUAGAGAAAAACCAAUCUUUAGUAGAAAUUUUGCUUUUUCACAAGUUUGUCGGCUAAAUUAGAGCUUCGAGUUAAUGGUGAAGACAUUUUUCGGUGGUUGCGAGUCCGACGUUUGCUCGAGGUUCUGUUUUGGUACUCCCAUAGUCCAAAGGGACUCUUUCCCUUUGCAUUUUGUAAUGGGCCAACAUGGCCCAUCUUUUGAGUCAAGCCCCGAAAGAAAGUCCAAAAUGAGUUACGUGGAAUGUAAAUGCAAGGAGUCGAAAGAAGAAGAAAUGGAUUGAAGUCCCAUAUUUGAAGCAGCGAAGAGACUCAAAAGUCUCAUUUAUUAUUAUUAUUAUUAUUUUCUUAUUGUUGUCUUUAUUUAUUUAUUCAUUCAUUCAGACCACAAAUGCCAAAGUUGUAAAUUUAAUACAGGUAGAGCAAAACUAGAGUCAAACGCUCGAAAUCUAGAUUAGGAUAGGUGAAAUGGGUCGAAAGCCCAAUUAGAGAGGACAUGGUUCGUUGUUUUGGGUCUAAUGGUCUAAAUCUCUUACUUUCUUA